This 93-nucleotide microRNA precursor is filed under the name Pelobates cultripes (western spadefoot toad). The record is from RNAcentral. Lineage: Eukaryota; Metazoa; Chordata; Amphibia; Anura; Pelobatidae.
CUCCAGAUGUUGCUGAACUACAACUCCCAUGAUUCUUUGAAUUACAUAUAUCGCCAGAAAAUCAUGGGAGUUGUAGUUCAGCAACAUCUGGAG